GACGAACGCUGGCGGCGUGCUUAACACAUGCAAGUCGAGCGGUAAGGCCCUUUCGGGGGUACGACGAGCGGCGAACGGGUGAGUAACACGUGGGUGACCUGCCCUCAGCUCUGGGAUAAGCCUGGGAAACUGGGUCUAAUACUGGAUAUGACUCCACGGUGCAUGUCGUGGGGUGGAAAGCCUUGUGCGGCUGAGGAUGGGCCCGCGGCCUAUCAGCUUGUUGGUGGGGUGAGGCCUACCAAGGCGACGACGGGUAGCCGGCCUGAGAGGGCGACCGGCCACACUGGGACUGAGACACGGCCCAGACUCCUACGGGAGGCAGCAGUGGGGGAAUCUUGCGCAA
RNAcentral lists this ribosomal RNA (343 nucleotides) under uncultured bacterium. RNAcentral describes it as "bacterial SSU rRNA". It matches the Rfam family "Bacterial small subunit ribosomal RNA", at positions 28 to 371 of the family's 1533-position model. The record is from RNAcentral.